AAUCUUUGCUGCUUCUGGGACGAGCUGCUGCUGCUGUGAUCUGCCUUCUGCCGGUGGGCAGCUGCGUCGGCGCCGGAACCGUUGGGAGAGGCGCCGGCGCUGGAUCGUGAGCUGCUGGAUCGCCGCGCUGCUGGAUCGCUGGAUCGUGAGCUGCUGCUGGAUCGUGCUGCGUCUGCUGGAUCGCCGCGCUGCUGGAUCGAGAAAUCGUCGAGAAGACCUGAGCUGCUGUCGACGGACCUGAGCUGCUGGAUCGUGCUGUCGACGUGAGAUCGUCGAGAAGACCUGAGCUGCUACAGUUGUUUGCUC
This 306-nucleotide long non-coding RNA is filed under the name Salvia miltiorrhiza (redroot sage). RNAcentral describes it as "long non-coding RNA (SMIL_LNC012527)". The record is from RNAcentral. Lineage: Eukaryota; Viridiplantae; Streptophyta; Magnoliopsida; Lamiales; Lamiaceae.